RNAcentral lists this ribosomal RNA (510 nucleotides) under Triticum aestivum (bread wheat). RNAcentral's name for it is "partial small subunit ribosomal RNA". Lineage: Eukaryota; Viridiplantae; Streptophyta; Magnoliopsida; Poales; Poaceae. The record is from RNAcentral.
AUGUUCUCUGCCGCCACCUCUCCCCGCGGCCGCUGCCGCUCCUCGAUGACGGCCCGUCCGCCUUCAUCCUCCGGCCACGCGGCAAGAUCGGGUACACACACCUCACUCUCGUCGCCACCAACCCUGGCACCAGCUUCCCCGUCAGAUUCCCCGUCCUUGAUAGGUACAAGGAUCGACGUCCUUCGCCACGGCAAAUCGUCCGAGUUCCACGGCCAGAUCCGACACCCGCCCUCCUCGAUAAGGGCACCGACCGAAAAAUCAGUUUUCUGCCUUCUCUUCUCCACCGGUGCCGACGACGAAGACGACGCUCCUUAUGUGUCUGAGUCUGAGUCCGAGGACGGGUCCACUGAAGCAGAACUGCCGGUGGUCGGUAGCUUGUUUGAUGGCUCUUACUCUGAGGACGCCGCCGCUGAACAGGAGGCUCGGGUCGUCGACCCUACCACCACAGUGAUGGAUGUCGCUGAGCCGGACGUUGUUCCCUCGCAGCAUCCCGGCUCGCCACCGACAUGA